Molecule: RNA transcript, 2509 nt
Organism: Lutzomyia longipalpis
Lineage: Eukaryota; Metazoa; Arthropoda; Insecta; Diptera; Psychodidae
Gene: Mocs1
Gene name: molybdenum cofactor biosynthesis protein 1
Exons: 5
Source: RefSeq, a predicted model, not a curated record
CGCCUUUGUUGCGAAGAAUGACGAAGGCGGGCUGAUUUUUUCUCUCUACAUUUUUCACCCGAAAAUUAAUUAUUUCCAGUGCUUAGCUGUAGAAUAGUGGGUCAAUUGAUUGGAUACAGUCACACUACACUACUUGUGAGAUGUUCCGACCAUUGGGAUCACGUCUGGGGGCUGUGGGGUACAUUCAACGGAGCUGCCGGAGCCUCUUCGUGGGCGCACCACCUGUUGCAUCCGAGACUGUGCGGGAGGUGCCCACACUGACGGAUACAUUUGGGCGGAAUCACACCUACUUGAGGAUUUCUCUGACGGAGCGAUGCAACCUCCGGUGUCAGUACUGCAUGCCCGAGGAGGGGGUACAGCUGACGCGACGCGAGGAGCUUCUCAGCACGGAGGAAAUGUUCAAAUUGGCUGAGCUGUUUGUGCGUGAGGGGGUACGGAAGAUUCGCCUUACGGGCGGAGAGCCAACAGUGCGGAAGGACAUUGUGGACAUUGUGGGGGGACUGAAGAAAAUCCCACAGCUCGAGAGUGUGUCAAUCACAACAAAUGCCCUCAUUCUCACACGAAUCCUCGUGCCAUUGCAACGUGCUGGCCUCGAUGGGCUCAACAUCAGCCUGGACUCCCUCAUUCCGGGGAAAUUUGAACGAAUCACCCGCCGGAAGGGCUUUGAGCGUGUCAUUGCGGGCAUUGAUCUGGCCAUUCAGCUGGGGUAUCGCCCAAAAGUCAACUGUGUCGUCAUGAAGGGGCUCAAUGAGGAGGAAAUUGUGGAUUUUGUGGCAUUCACACAAGAUCGCAAUGUUGACGUUCGCUUCAUUGAGUACAUGCCCUUCACGGGGAAUAAAUGGGAAACGGACAAAAUGGUCUCCUUCCGGGACAUGAUGACGCGCAUUAAGGAGAAAUUCCCGGACUUUCAUGCCCUACCAAAUGGACCAAAUGACACGUCAAAAGCCUUCAAAGUACCCACAUUUGCUGGCCAAGUGGGCUUCAUUACAUCCAUGACAGAGCACUUCUGUGGCACGUGCAAUCGCCUGAGAAUUACAGCUGAUGGAAAUUUGAAAGUCUGUCUCUUUGGCAACACUGAAAUCUCCCUGAGAGACGCCCUACGUGGUGGAUGCUCAGAAAGUGAUCUUAUUGCCAUGAUUUCAGCAGCUGUGAAUAGGAAGAAGAAGCAGCAUGCUGGCAUGCUGAAUUUAUCUAAAAUGGAAAAUCGACCCAUGAUCCUAAUAGGAGGAUGACAAAUCCUCACAAAUAAUAGAAUUUUAUUUCUUAAACAUUGUGAGACAAUUUUCUUGCCAAAUAGAACACAAAGAGAAAGAACAAAAAAAAAAAAUAUAAAGAAUUUAACAAGAAGAAAAAUAGAGUAGUAAAAAAAAAGUGAAAAGAGAUGAGAAAUUGCUUGAGCUGUGCGUGGGUGUAAUUGCAGAUUUUCCCAUGGCACCAAGGGGAGCACCACAGCUGGAUGGGAUGGUGCGAGAUCUCCUGGCAGUUCAGCGGGUGAAUGUUCAUGGGCUACGCUUCAUGUCCACUGGAAGCUUGUCGCACGUGACACCCGAGGGGAAGGCCAAAAUGGUCGAUGUGAGUGGGAAGAAUGUGAGUCAGCGUGAGGCACGAGCACGAGCUGUUGUGGCGGUUGGCCCGCAAAUUGCUCAUCUCAUCCGGAGCAAUGAAAUUCGCAAAGGGGACGUGCUGUCGGUGUCGAAGAUUGCUGCAAUUCUCGCAUCGAAGCGCACAUCGGAGAUCAUUCCGCUCUGCCACAACAUUCCACUGAGUCUCGUGGAUGUCACCACGAAGCUCAAUACGCAGACAAAUGAGGUGAUUGUGGAGUCUCUUGUGCGCUGCGACGGGAAGACUGGAGUGGAGAUGGAAGCCCUCACGGCUGUCACAGUGGCUGCACUCACAAUCUACGACAUGUGCAAAGCUGUGUCGCACGAUAUUGUUAUCCGGGAUGUGAUGCUGGUGGCUAAAUCUGGGGGGAAGAGUGACUUUGCACGUCGUGAGGAGCCAAAGGAGGAACUCAAGACGAUCACACUCAAAUACAAUCGUAGCCCGGCUGAGGAGAAAGAUGAACGUUUCUAUCCAACACCCAUCUAGUCGCUUCUUCUCCUGCUUUGUCCACUCUAUGCAUUGUGUCUUCCACCCACCCCCGCGCAUUUCCUUGCUUCCUGCUGCUCCCCCCACGUAUGCUUUAAUCACUGUGAUGGUUACCCUCUGCAUUCCCAGCAGCUUUUUAACUCUUGUUGCUCUUGCAGCCUUUUAUGGGCACAAAAUUGAUGAAAUUUAGCACGUUCCGGACAUUUUCUUCUCACUUCCUGACCUGAAAUUGUGCUACUCUUACACCAAAACGACCAAAUCUCUUUUUACAGAAGAAUGUCACAAACGUGCUAAUUUUCAGCUCAAGCACUCUUCUUUUUUACAAGAAAAAAAAACUUUUUAUAUUCUUAUAUAUUGUUACUCACCUGAGAAAAGGGAAACAAGAAAGAAAUUAAACUAUUUUUUAUCAUUUACUCGAAAA